CACUCCUGCGGGAGGCAGCAGUGGGGAAUUUUGGACAAUGGGCGAAAGCCUGAUCCAGCAAUGCCGCGUGAGUGAAGAAGGCCUUCGGGUUGUAAAGCUCUUUUGUCAGGGAAGAAACGGUGAGAGCUAAUAUCUCUUGCUAAUGACGGUACCUGAAGAAUAAGCACCGGCUAACUACGUGCCAGCAGCCGCGGUAAUACGUAGGGUGCAAGCGUUAAUCGGAAUUACUGGGCGUAAAGCGUGCGCAGGCGGUUUUGUAAGUCUGAUGUGAAAUCCCCGGGCUCAACCUGGGAAUUGCAUUGGAGACUGCAAGGCUAGAAUCUGGCAGAGGGGGGUAGAAUUCCACGUGUAGCAGUGAAAUGCGUAGAUAUGUGGAGGAACACCGAUGGCGAAGGCAGCCCCCUGGGUCAAGAUUGACGCUCAUGCACGAAAGCGUGGGGAGCAAACAGGAUUAGAAACCCUUGUAGUCCCA
This 472-nucleotide ribosomal RNA is filed under the name uncultured organism. RNAcentral describes it as "partial 16S ribosomal RNA". It matches the Rfam family "Bacterial small subunit ribosomal RNA", at positions 334 to 797 of the family's 1533-position model. The record is from RNAcentral.